This 130-nucleotide ribosomal RNA is filed under the name uncultured bacterium. RNAcentral's name for it is "partial 16S ribosomal RNA". It matches the Rfam family "Bacterial small subunit ribosomal RNA", at positions 385 to 534 of the family's 1533-position model. The record is from RNAcentral.
GAUGCAGCACGCCGCGUGGAGGAUGACACAUUUCGGUGCGUAAACUCCUUUUAUUAGGGAAGAUAAUGACGGUACCAAAUGAAUAAGCACCGGCUAACUCCGUGCCAGCAGCCGCGGUAAUAGAUCUGUG